AUUGAACGCUGGCGGCAGGCCUAACACAUGCAAGUCGAGCGAGCGGCGGACGGGUGAGUAAUGCCUGGGAAUUGCCCAGUCGAGGGGGAUAACAGUUGGAAACGACUGCUAAUACCGCAUACGAUUGGAUUGCCCAGGUGGGAUUAGCUAGUUGGUGAGGUAAUGUCUCACCAAGGCGACGAUCCCUAGCUGGUCUGAGAGGAUGAUAAGCCACACUUGAACUGAGACCGUGUCCAGACUCCUCCGGACGGCAGCAGUGGGGAAUAUUGCACGAUUGGGGAAACCCUGAUGCAGCCAUGCCGGGUGUGUGAAGAAGGCCUCCGGGUUGUAAAGCACUUUCAUCGAGGAGUCGUUACUCGCAGAAGAAGCACCGGCUAACUCCGUGCCAGCAGCCGCGGUAAUAC
Molecule: ribosomal RNA, 404 nt
Filed under: uncultured bacterium
Lineage: Bacteria
Description: partial 16S ribosomal RNA
Rfam family: Bacterial small subunit ribosomal RNA
Source: RNAcentral